GGUGGAGCAGCCUGGUAGCUCGUCCUCGUCGGGCUCAUAACCCGAAGGUCGUCGGUUCAAAUCCGGCCCCCGCAACCA
This 78-nucleotide transfer RNA is filed under the name Serratia marcescens. Its description in RNAcentral is "tRNA-Met(cat)". It matches the Rfam family "tRNA". From Rfam's summary of the family: Transfer RNA (tRNA) molecules are approximately 80 nucleotides in length. Their secondary structure includes four short double-helical elements and three loops (D, anti-codon, and T loops). Lineage: Bacteria; Pseudomonadati; Pseudomonadota; Gammaproteobacteria; Enterobacterales; Yersiniaceae. The record is from RNAcentral.